CCUACGGGUGGCAGCAGUGAGGAAUAUUGGUCAAUGGACGAGAGUCUGAACCAGCCAAGUAGCGUGAAGGAUGACUGCCCUAUGGGUUGUAAACUUCUUUUAUCUGGGAAUAACAUGUUCCACGUGUGGGAUUUUGUAUGUACCAUAUGAAUAAGCAUCGGCUAACUCCGUGCCAGCAGCCGCGGUAAUACGGAGGAUGCGAGCGUUAUCCGGAUUUAUUGGGUUUAAAGGGAGCGUAGGUGGAUGGUUAAGUCAGUUGUGAAAGUGUGGGGCUCAACCCUAUCAUGGCAGUUGAAACUGGCAGUAUUGAGUGCAGGAGAGGUGUGCGGAAUUCGUGGUGUAGCGGUGAAAUGCUUAGAUAUCACGAAGAACUCCGAUUGCGAAGGCAGCUCACUGGACUGCAACUGACACUGAGGCUCGAAAGUGUGGGUAUCAAACAGGAUUAGAUACCCCUGUAGUC
This 460-nucleotide ribosomal RNA is filed under the name uncultured bacterium. RNAcentral's name for it is "partial 16S ribosomal RNA". It matches the Rfam family "Bacterial small subunit ribosomal RNA", at positions 338 to 795 of the family's 1533-position model. The record is from RNAcentral.